Molecule: ribosomal RNA, 497 nt
Filed under: uncultured bacterium
Lineage: Bacteria
Description: partial 16S ribosomal RNA
Rfam family: Bacterial small subunit ribosomal RNA
Source: RNAcentral
GAUGAACGCUGGCGGCGUGCCUAAUACAUGCAAGUCAAGCGAACAGACGAGGAGCUUGCUCCUCUGACGUUAGCGGCGGACGGGUGAGUAACACGUGGAUAACCUACCUAUAAGACUGGGAUAACUUCGGGAAACCGGAGCUAAUACCGGAUAAUAUAUUGAACCGCAUGGUUCAAUAGUGAAAGACGGUUUUGCUGUCACUUAUAGAUGGAUCCGCGCCGCAUUAGCUAGUUGGUAAGGUAACGGCUUACCAAGGCAACGAUGCGUAGCCGACCUGAGAGGGUGAUCGGCCACACUGGAACUGAGACACGGUCCAGACUCCUACGGGAGGCAGCAGUAGGGAAUCUUCUGCAAUGGGCGAAAGCCUGACGGAGCAACGCCGCGUGAGUGAUGAAGGUCUUCGGAUCGUAAAACUCUGUUAUUAGGGAAGAACAAAUGUGUAAGUAACUAUGCACGUCUUGACGGUACCUAAUCAGAAAGCCACGGCUAACUACGUG